Parus major (Great Tit) is the source of this 4641-nucleotide long non-coding RNA. RefSeq lists it as uncharacterized. The record is from RefSeq and is a predicted model, not a curated record. Lineage: Eukaryota; Metazoa; Chordata; Aves; Passeriformes; Paridae. The transcript has 3 exons.
UUCGAGCCGCCGCCACACAGCCGUGGCCUCUCGCUGCUUUUCUCUUUCUCCUCGUUGCUGUGCUGCUUGUUCUUUGUGGGGAGGUCUGGGGUGGUGGGUGUGAAGCCCACCCUCUGAAGCCUCCGCUCUCGCUUUCCUUCUUUUUUUGUUUGUCAGAAAUGGGGAGUGUGUGCCCUCUUCUCUCAAGGUGCGUGAACAAAAUGUCUUCUUUAACUUAGAGAGUUUCAGUUUUUAAUUAAAUAAAAAAAGCUUUUUCAUCCACUUUGCUUGUUCCUAUCCUCUGCAAUCACCCAGGCCCUGGGACAGCUGUGAGGCAGCUCACUUGGAAGAGGCAAAUGCCAGGGAGGAUACAAAACUCACCAGUCCACAUGAUUUGUCACAGUGUUUGUAGUGAAUCACUUGCUGGUGCUACAGAUUAGUGCUGAACAGAGGUGUUUCCAUUCCAGCAUCAACACUAAACUUCAUGGUUGCCUCAGCCUAUGACUGUUGUGAUGACGGUAAAACUCUUCCCACCCCAUUCCAAACAACAGCGUGUUUGUGUAGAAGGGAAGAAUAUGUUCUUCAGACUUGUCUGUUACCUUUCUUUCUCUCUACAAAAGGGUUGUAACUUAACUUCAGACUUCCAGAUCUUAUCCCCAGAAUAAAGUCUUUCUGUAAGUAAAAGUGAUGUGUUUAGGAGUGUAUAUUACUUCUUAAUAUUGCUUGUUUUUAUAUUGUUUUUCUAAGACCAAGUGAAAGAGUGAAGGAUACCUGUGUUUGGAUUAGUGGGGAGAGCCAAACAUAUCUGGGAAGAGAAUCAGAUAAUAUUUGAAUAUACUUUUUAAAAAUUUGCUUUUCAAUCCAUCAGGGUUUUUUUUUUAAGCUCUAUAGAUUUGCAGUGGUGGUUCUUACAUAAAUAGGCACCUGGAUAUUCUUGGAUUGAUUUGUAAAACUGCCAUCUGUAAGUUCAGCUCCUUAAAAGACUGUUUUCCAGCUGUUAGCAGUGAAACUAUUUCAUUUAGUUAAAAAGAAAAAAAAGGUAAUCCCUCCAAUUCACACUGUGUGUGUGUGUUUCUUUGGAGCUACAGGUAGGGUGACUGUAGCAUGCACAGCGAUUCCUGUGUAUUAUGUAAUAAGUAAUUCCCCUUUUGCAAAAGGUACCUGGUGUCUCACUGCUGUAACUCAUGGAGUUCCCAGCUGAUAACAGGGAACUGUCAUUCCCUUCUGUACCCCAAUAUCUUACACCUGUAUUCAUUAAAAUGCUUAUCAAAUGUUACUAUAUUGAACUACUUUGUUGUGCUUGGAGAUACUUUUAUGUAUAUAGGAGAUGAUAUCCCAAUUUUAGAGCUGGGAUUUCACAAAGGAGUUUUUCCAGGAACAACACACUGUGUGAAAGGAAACUGGGACCCCAAUUCUGCAUUCAUACUGGUGGGAACAGAUCCUUAUGGGAUCCUACAUUAUUUCCUGAACUUACAGUCAGGAAUCCCAGAUGAUGAAAUUACUGACUGGUGAAUGUAAGAAUAGUCAUUUAAUAGAAUUUUCAAUUUAGAUUUACGCUUUCCAGGUGUUCUAUGCUAUUUUGCAGUAUUGUUGUGCUUGGAUUUUGAAGCCAUUAAUAAAAGUAUGAGCAACUGCAGUGUUUGGUACCAUGAAGACAAGUAAGUAUCAUUGCAGGUGGGUGGUGGAGUCACACAAACCAGUUUUAGAUCACGGGUGGAUGACAUAAUGUGUCUGAACCUAGGAAACAGGAAAUAUUUUAUCAUAUGCCAAUCCUUACUUAGAAGGAACCCAAACAUUUUCCUCUUGUAUUUCAGCAGACAGCUUUGUUUUUCUGUUUCAUUGUAUUUCUUUUAAAGAUAACAUCAAGUGUCUACCUGAUUUUGAAGUACUGAACUGUUAAUUGUCAUGCUGCUAAAGCUUCAGAUUAGUAAAGGACAAUGUCAGUCAUUAUUAGGCCUUGUAUCUUUAGACUGUUACAAAACAGUAAAGGUUUUUUGGUCUUUUAAAUACUUGGUGGAGUCUGCAACUUAUUCACUAAGAAUUUAAAAUGGAGAAUAAAACAUUAUGUGCAAAGUAAUUCUGCCUGAUUUUCCCUUCUAUAUUUUCUGUACCUUUUAAUUAAUAAAUACGUUUCUCAGAAUUCUGCUGCCAUCUUCUAUGUUUAUGUGAGGUGUCUUGUUGAAGAAUGUUGCACACAGUGGAAAUUUCAAAAGCAGGUCUUUGUAGUUUAGUUCAGCUAGUCUUUGGUGAAUUAAAUUGAGAGGGAAACUUCCAUCACCAUUUCACCCUCACCUUUCCCAAGUAUUGUUUAAGGGGGAUAGAGUAGUGGUCUUUAAACUUCUGAAAGUUGAAAGGGUUUUCUCUCUCCAUUAAAAAAAUAAAUUAAUGAAAUCAUAAUUGUGCUGAUGCUUGAUGCUUUUGUGGAGCUUUCAUGGAUUUAUUGUGUAUCUUCCAGAAUUAUUAGGGAUUUUGCCUUGGGUUUCAGAUAGAGCAGGAACUCGUAUUGCAUUUGUUUUUUUCUUUUUAGCUUUGAUUGUAGUAACAGGUUACUUCUGUGUUUGGAGGGACUAAAGAGAAUUACUUUUUAAAAAGUAUUUUGCAUAUAUAUAAAUAUAUAUACAUAAACCCAUGGAAUUCUAUGAAAUAUUUUAAGUAUAGAAUAAGACACAGUGAGUGAUCUACCAAAAUAUUUUUGCUUAAUGUCUCAAAACAAUUUAAGCCUGUUCUGUGUGGUUUAUAAUUAUUUUCUUUUCCUCUCCUUUUUAAUAAGGCUACUGUGUGCUACCCAGGGAGCACAAAAUACGUAUUCAUGCAUGUGGGCUGUAUAAGCAACCUGCCUAACUUUUCCUUCUUAGGCCCACACUUAGGAAAGAUUAUGCAGAAGCUUUGCUUUGUACAUGACUAGUCUGAUUGUUUCCAGUGGAAGUAGCUGAUGUGGAGUUCAGCGCACAAACAAGUUUUAACUUUUGUACUAAAUGCAAUUCAGAAUUUCUCCACAAAGUGUCAUUGGCAUAAAGGAAAAACUCCAUAGGAAAAAACACAACAGCUUGUGUUAGUAGCAUAAAUUCUUCAAAAGGGUAGCUGCAUGUGAAUUGUUAAGAGUGAUGCUGCAACAUACUUCACAUACUGGGGGAAAUAAGGGCAUAUCAUCUCUACCAAUUUUUUAACAACUGUUCUUCUGUUGUUUGUUGUGUUUAACUGCAAAGUGUUCUUCCAUCUUCAGUGGGAUACUCAGGUGCUCACAUGGUACAAAUAUACUCAUGAUCUCUUGACGUUUGGGGUCUACUUUUCACUAUAAAGAAAACGGUUGUUUUUUUUUUCUUUUUAAAUUGUAAAAUUUAGUUGCACAGAGCUUCAUUUAAUUGACAUAGACUGGUCUUCAUUCCCAAAGUUUAACUUUGAAUAUCGGCAGAAAUAUCAGAUAUUGAUGUUUUUGCACAUUAGCACUUUUGUUUUUACAGCUUCACUUAAGAUUGGAAAUAAAAUUGCAAGAAUAUCUUUUUGUCUUUAUAAGUUAUGUCCAUCUAUAGGACCACUUCAUGCUGAGUGCUUGUCCUCACAACAAUCCUAAAUGUGGAGUGGGCCUGAGGGUUGCAGUAUUGUGGGAGUUGACAGUCCUGUGUGUCCAUUACAAGGAUAUCUGGCACAUUGGAGCUUCAGGAGGAAAUUUUUCCAAGAAUUCACAUUUUUCAUUGACCAAAUAAGUAGCUCAGGAUUUGGUCAGGGUGGGAGGAUUUCAGAGUGAAAUGACAGAACUCAAAAAUCCUUGCUUUCAUUGAAACAAUGGAUUUCUAGUAGUUCUCCCCUCUUUCAUCUGUGUUCGUUGUGAAACCAAGGUAUGUGCUUUUUUUGUUUUCCUUUUUCAAUUUUUUUUUUUAAACUGGAUAAUUGACUACUUUUGUGGGAUUCACACAGUUGUGUAUAAAAAUUAUAAAAAUGUCCUUUUUUUUUUUGAACUUCAACUUUUGUGUCAAUUUUGUCUUUCAUAAGAACAGGUUUGUGGGAGGAGCAAGGGGGAAUUGGGAAGGAAGAACCUCAUUGCCAUCAGUUGCAGCAAAGUGAGAAAGCAUGCUGAAUGACUGUUUUAAAUUAUAAAAUUGACCAUGAUGGUGAUACAUCAGUUUAUUAAUUUUUGUUUUGUUUGUUUUUAAAGAUUUAAUUGUAAUUCAAGCUACUUGUUUCCUUCUGGAAUGGUGAAAAUUAAAGAAACUGGAGAGUCUUUUUACCUGGAGGUUAACACAGUGCUGUUAAAUAACUGACAAGAUAAAGUUUUUGGCUUGGUUUUUUUUUUUUGUAUUUUUUUUUUUUUCUGUCUGCUUCAGCCCUGUGGAAGAUUAUCUCAGUUGUCAGUUUUCACUGUCCAACAGUCUGUGUGCAGAAUUUAGGCUUUCAGCAGAGUGUUUGGGAAUUUGGAACAAGGUCCUCAACAAAAGGUCAGGUUGUUUGUGUGAGCAAAUACCAAAGGUGCCAUAUCAGCUCAGAUCGAAGACCCAGCUGGCCUAAUGUCUCUUCUACAGCAGUGGCUGCUCCUUAGGAAAAAUCUGAGAGAAUGUGAAUGGAUUUGCCUCAUCCUGGUUUCUGGAAAUCAGCAUUUUGAAAGCUUGAUGAUGGGGUUUAUUGCAAAACUUUGGAAAUAAACUGUGUCAGCUUGAGUUAGUCUUA